This 274-nucleotide ribosomal RNA is filed under the name uncultured bacterium. RNAcentral's name for it is "partial 16S ribosomal RNA". It matches the Rfam family "Bacterial small subunit ribosomal RNA", at positions 523 to 796 of the family's 1533-position model. The record is from RNAcentral.
AUACGGAGGGUGCAAGCGUUGUUCGGAAUCACUGGGCGUAAAGGGCGCGCAGGCGGUUUGGUAAGUCAGAUGUGAAAGCCCAUGGCUCAACCAUGGAAGUGCAUUUGAAACUGUCAGACUUGAGUACUAGAGGGGAAAGUGGAAUUCCCGGUGUAGAGGUGAAAUUCGUAGAUAUCGGGAGGAAUACCGGUGGCGAAGGCGACUUUCUGGCUAGAUACUGACGCUGAGGCGCGAAAGCGUGGGGAGCAAACAGAAUUAGAAACCCUAGUAGUCC